AAACAAUUUUCCGAUAAUUUAGCAAAUUUUGGCUUGAAGAGGUCAUAUCAAAGGGGUAGCAGAUGCGAAGAAAAUACUGAUCUCUAAAUGUACAAUAACGACGAAGUGGAGUAGAUGAAAAUAUCCAUAAGCACUGAUUGUUGCUUCGUCGUAUGCGAUUCUUUUCGAGACGAUCAUAUUACCAAUUCGACCUCUUCACUUCAUUGAAUAUCAUAAGAAUGCUUGACAUGAGCCGAUUAAGAGUUUCCAAGUUUUGAAUUUCAAUAUUUCGUAUCGUAACGCACAACGUCUGUUCGCCAGUCAACCAAACAACCAACCAAACAACCAACCAGCCGUUAGUAAACGAGACCCAGCCAGCAGUGAGCCGACGUGGCGUAUUUAGGCAGUUAGUCGAUGAGGCAGCGCAUAAAAAGUCAACUGUCGACUUCCGUCCGAGUGCCGGUCUAGUUGGCCAGCCAAUGGAAUCGCAAUAACGAUGUGUCGCUUAGGACAAUCCUGAAUGACUGAUACAUCAAUCCACAGCCUGAGCCACUGAUCAUACAGAUUUCAAACUUGGAGGGAGUAUUCGGUGUAUGAAAAUUAAAUUUAUUUUUAAAUCGCUCGAUUUACAUGGCAUUCGACUCAGAGUAAAUUUACAAUUUCAUCAUGACGAGAUAUACGCAAGAACAACGUUUAUAAACAACAACAAAUUGAAAACUAUAACGAAUUUUGAGAAAGUUAUCUUCUCCGAUGAGGCGAAAAUAUCCACAAAUUAUUCAUGAAUAACCAUUGCAUUCACCUAAAUUGACAGUUUAGUGUGGUUUUUGGUCCGGUGGAAUCAUCGGUCCGUACUUCUUUCGAAAUAAAGCUGGUAACGCCGCUACUGUCAAUGGAGAGCAGUGUAGAUCGAUGAUAACCAACUUUUUAUGGCCACACUUGGAAGAAGUUAAUCUUAACAACAACAGGUUCCAACAAGACGGAGCUACGUGUCACACAGCACGUGAAACAGCCGAUUUAUCGGGGGAAAUGUUUGGAGAUUCGAUUAUUUCAGGAAACUGUAACAUUGAAUGGCCUCUAAGAAGUUGUGAUUUUAACACCAUUAGAUUACUUCUUGUGCGGUUACUUCAAGUCAUUAGUCUUUAGUAACAAACCAGACUCUCUUCAAGCUUUAAAAGUCAAUAUUGAAUGUGCUAUUCAUCACAUAUGACUUGAUUUAGUGGAGAAAGUGCUCUAAAAUUGGGUUCAUCCAAUUCGUGCCUGUGAAAGAAGUCGUGGAAGCCGUUUAAAUGAUGCUAUAUACAGAACCGAAUUAACGAUCGACUGAAAUGGAGACGAGAAAAAGCGAGAUAGCGGAGAAUACGUCGGACGAAAUUCUACCACCAACGCAAAUAGUAAUUUCCCAUGAGAUUCUCUUCGGGUUUCAGCGUUACUUACAGCCAAUACAAAUAUUAUUUCUAUGUGGUUCCGAAGUUUUCACACCGGACAUAUUUCCGUAGAAAACGAGCCCUGAGAAGGUCGACCAAGAUCAUAUAAUGAUGACGUCACUGUAGCUCUGGUGAAGUUCAAAAUUGACAAAGACCCACGAUUGACACAAGAAAUGAUCGCUACUGCAUGGGUACCACGAUUUUUAAAUGAGGCCCAAAAAGAAGUUCGAGUGCAUUUUGUU
Ceratitis capitata (Mediterranean fruit fly) is the source of this 1645-nucleotide long non-coding RNA. RefSeq lists it as uncharacterized. The transcript is spliced from 5 exons. Lineage: Eukaryota; Metazoa; Arthropoda; Insecta; Diptera; Tephritidae. The record is from RefSeq and is a predicted model, not a curated record.